AACGAACGCUGGCGGCAUGCCUAACACAUGCAAGUCGAACGAGACCUUCGGGUCUAGUGGCGCACGGGUGCGUAACACGUGGGAAUCUGCCCUUUGCUUCGGAAUAACAGUUAGAAAUGACUGCUAAUACCGGAUGAUGUCGAAAGACCGAAGAUUUAUCGGCAAAGGAUGAGCCCGCGUAGGAUUAGGUAGUUGGUGGGGUAAAGGCCUACCAAGCCGACGAUCCUUAGCUGGUCUGAGAGGAUGAUCAGCCACACUGGGACUGAGACACGGCCCAGACUCCUACGGGAGGCAGCAGUGGGGAAUAUUGGACAAUGGGCGAAAGCCUGAUCCAGCAAUGCCGCGUGAGUGAUGAAGGCCUUAGGGUUGUAAAGCUCUUUUACCAGGGAUGAUAAUGACAGUACCUGGAGAAUAAGCUCCGGCUAACUCCGUG
Molecule: ribosomal RNA, 433 nt
Filed under: uncultured bacterium
Lineage: Bacteria
Description: partial 16S ribosomal RNA
Rfam family: Bacterial small subunit ribosomal RNA
Source: RNAcentral